Long non-coding RNA from Salvelinus fontinalis (brook trout), 853 nucleotides. RefSeq lists it as uncharacterized. Lineage: Eukaryota; Metazoa; Chordata; Actinopteri; Salmoniformes; Salmonidae. The transcript has 2 exons. The record is from RefSeq and is a predicted model, not a curated record.
CAGGAAUGAACCACUGUGUUCUAGCCAUGUCCUAUAAUAAACAAGCCUCUCGUCACCAACUAUCAGCGUCUAAGUACUUCCGGAACCUGAGCCCUAGGACCAUACGUCAGGACUACCGGGCAUGAUGACUCCUUGCUGUCCCCAGUCCACCUGGCCUUGCUGCUGUUCCAGUUUCAACUGUUCUGCCGGCGGUUAUGGAACCCCUACCUGUCCCAGACCUGCUGCUUUCAACUCUUAAUGAUCGGCUAUGAAAAGCCAACUGACAUUUAUUCCUGAUUAUUAUUUGACCAUGCUUGUCAUUUAUGAACAUUUUGAAAAUCUUGGCUCUCUCUAAUUCUCUCCUUCUCUCUUUCUUUCUCUCUCUCGGAGGACCUGAGCCCUAGAACCAUAUGUCAGGACUACCGGGCAUGAUGACUCCUUGCUGUCCCCAGUCCACCUGGCCUUGCUGCUAUUCCAGUUUCAACUGUUCUGCCUGCGGUUAUGGAACCCCUACCUGUCCCAGACCUGCUGUUUUCAACUCUUAAUGAUCGGCUAUGAAAAGCCAACUGACAUUUAUUCCUGAUUAUUAUUUGACCAUGCUUGUCACUUAUGAACAUUUUGAACAUCUUGGCCAUGUUCUGUUAUAAUCUCCACCCGGCACAGCCAGAAGAGGACUGGCCACCCCUCAUAGCCUGGUUCCUCUCUAGGUUUCUUCCUAGGUUUUGGCCUUUCUAGGGAGUUUUUCCUAGCCACCGUGCUUCUACACCUGCAUUGCUUGCUGUUUGGGGUUUUAGGCUGGGUUUCUGUACAGCACUUCGAGAUAUUAGCUGAUGUACGAAGGGCUAUAUAAAAUAAACUUGAUUUGAUGAUUUGA